RNAcentral lists this ribosomal RNA (274 nucleotides) under uncultured bacterium. Its description in RNAcentral is "partial 16S ribosomal RNA". It matches the Rfam family "Bacterial small subunit ribosomal RNA", at positions 523 to 796 of the family's 1533-position model. The record is from RNAcentral.
AUACGUAGGAUCCGAGCGUUGUCCGGAUUUACUGGGCGUAAAGGGUGCGUAGGCGGUUUGUCAAGUCUUAUGUGAAAUCUCCCGGCUCAACUGGGAGGGGUCAUAGGAAACUGGCAGACUUGAGGGCAGUAGAGGAGAGCGGAAUUCCUGGAGUAGCGGUAAUAUGCGUAGAUACCAGGAGGAACACCAGAGGCGAAAGCGGCUCUCUGGGCUGUACCUGACGCUGAGGCACGAAAGCGUGGGGAGCAAACCGGAUUAGAUACCCCAGUAGUCC